Long non-coding RNA from Pipra filicauda (Wire-tailed manakin), 698 nucleotides. RefSeq lists it as uncharacterized. The record is from RefSeq and is a predicted model, not a curated record. The transcript is spliced from 2 exons. Lineage: Eukaryota; Metazoa; Chordata; Aves; Passeriformes; Pipridae.
GAUCGGCACCGGGAUCGGGAUCGGCACCGGGAUCGGGUGUAAGCUUCCCUCUGCCAGUUGGAAUUCAUCCAUCAUCGGAUCCCUGUGGUGCCUUGUGAACAUUCCCAGAGGACCCACACCCUUUGUGUUCUCCUGGGUUCCACCGUGCACGUGGGGCAGUAAAAUCCGUGUGGCCGCAGUUCUGAACUUGGUGAAUUUGAACUAAAGUUGGUGGGUUUGUCCAGUAAGAAAAGUGGUGAUUUAUAAAACCAAGCAGAGUGGUAUUCCACACUAGGGAUUUGGGAUUGGUGAUGAUCCCAGUCCAUAAUCUUUCUGUUCAUUUUCUUUUGGAUGCUGCAACCUGCUGAGCUGGGGGAACGUUCAUUUACAUUUCAGUUUAAUUUUCUGUAUUUCAUUAAUUCUCCGUGGAAAUCUGCUUUUAAUAAAAAGGACCACGAGGAUAUUGAUGACAUCACAGGUUCCUAGGAUUCAGGCAGGUGUUCAUGCAGACCAAGGAUUUUUUUGGAUGGAAGCAGCUGCACCAAUCUCCAAGGAAUCUCAGUCUGGGUUUUUCUUUUCUCCUAAUUGUCCUUGGUUUGGAGGUGCAGUGCAGCCAUGCCCUCUAUAUCUCUUUUAAGGGUUUUUGAGGCUAAAAAGGUUCCUUUGUAUUCCGUAUUCUGCAGUAUUUAUAUAUCUUGAUUAAAAAGAAUAAUAUAAUA